AUGGCCUGGAUUCCUGUCCUUCUUGUUUUGCUUUCUCAUGGCACCACCUGUGUCUGCGCUCACCUCUCUCGGCCCGUGCUGACCCGGCCGCCCUCCCUCUCUGCAGCUCUGGAAGCAACUGAUGGACUCACCUGCACCCUGAGCAGGGACAUCGGUGUGGGCGGCUCUGACAGCUACUGGAUCCAGCAGCAGCCAGGGAGCCCUCCCCGGUGUCUGCCGAGGUUCUCCUCAGACUCCGAGAAGCACCAGGGCUCCGGGGUCUCCGGCCGCUUCUCGGGCUCCAAAGACGCCUCGGCCAAGGCGGGGCUUCUGCGCAUCUUGGGGCUGCAGGCUGAGGAUGAGGCGGACUCUUACUGUGAUACUGGACAUGGCAGCCCUUAUAUGGACAAUGUCCUCCAGAACCUUGGGGAAGUGUGA
This is a non-coding RNA of Zalophus californianus (California sea lion), 417 nucleotides long. NCBI's taxonomy places the organism in Eukaryota, Metazoa, Chordata, Mammalia, Carnivora, Otariidae. The record is from the annotation of a RefSeq genome assembly.